Molecule: ribosomal RNA, 214 nt
Filed under: uncultured Lactobacillus sp.
Lineage: Bacteria; Bacillati; Bacillota; Bacilli; Lactobacillales; Lactobacillaceae
Description: partial 16S ribosomal RNA
Rfam family: Bacterial small subunit ribosomal RNA
Source: RNAcentral
ACCUGGAAACAGAUGCUAAUACCGGACAACAACAGAUGAUGCCUAUCAACUGUUUAAAAGAUGGUUCUGCUAUCACUCUUGGAUGGACCUGCGGUGCAUUAGCUAGUUGGUAGGGUAACGGCCUACCAAGGCGAUGAUGCAUAGCCGAGUUGAGAGACUGAUCGGCCACAUUGGGACUGAGACACGGCCCAAACUCCUACGGGAGGCAGCAGUC